CCCGCUGAACUUAAGCAUAUCAGUAAGCGGAGGAAAAGAAACUAACUAGGAUUCCGAUAGUAACUGCGAGUGAAGUCGGACAAGUCCAGCGCCAAAGUCUUCGGCUGUAUGGUCGGCAGACAAUGUGGCGUUUAGCUCGUUCGUUGCGCGUUUGCCGGCGCAGUCAAGUUCCCUUGACUGGGACUCAUGGCCCGUAGAGGGUGUGAGGCCUUUCGCUGCUAUGGCAGGCACGCUUGGAGCGGGUGACGAGUCGGGUUGUUUGGGAGUACAGCCCAAAUUAGGUGGUAAACUCCAUCUAAGACUGAAUACUAGCACGAGUCCGAUAGCGAACAAGUACCGUGAGGGAAAGUUGAAAAGCACUUUGAAGAGAGAGUUCAAGAGUACGUGAAACCGCCUAGGGGCAAGCGGGUAGAGCCACAGUUGCCAGUCAGUCGGAUUCAGUUGACGCAGCUUGCUGCGCGCUAGUGUGCGGACAUGCCGGUGCAAGCCGGUGUACAGCAUCAUUGGCUGCAAAGUAGGUUGAGUUGACGCACUUUCGGCUGACGUACGGCGGCCGCGACCAAUUGGCAGACCGGUGCCUAGUGUUUGUGUAGGUAGCUGCGGGUGCUCUUCGGAGCGCUGCUCACGUCAGUGUCAGACAUGAAUACUGGUCCAACCGGAGUCGAUUGAGGUGCGAAGCGACGCUCGCGCUCUUUGACGGCGCUUGCUGCUCGGUCGAGUUGUGGCGUUAAGUGCAGUACCGCUUGGCGGUGAUGUGCGAGACGUUGCUACUGUCAGGCUGGGUGUGUUUGCGAAUGCCGAGGAGUGUCGCUAGUCAGCGGCUUGUUGGUAGUCUACCCGGCCCGUCUUGAAACACGG
RNAcentral lists this ribosomal RNA (858 nucleotides) under uncultured fungus. RNAcentral describes it as "eukaryotic LSU rRNA". It matches the Rfam family "Eukaryotic large subunit ribosomal RNA", at positions 24 to 664 of the family's 3401-position model. The record is from RNAcentral. Lineage: Eukaryota; Fungi.